CCUACGGGUGACAGCAGUGAGGAAUAUUGGUCAAUGGGCGCGAGCCUGAACCAGCCAAGCCGCGUGCGGGAAGAAGGUACAGUGUAUUGUAAACCUCUUUUGUCAGGGAACAAAGGCGGGGACUAGUCCCCGGAUGAGGGUAUCUGAAGAAAAAGCAUCGGCUAACUCCGUGCCAGCAGCCGCGGUAAUACGGAGGAUGCGAGCGUUAUCCGGAUUUAUUGGGUUUAAAGGGUGCGCAGGCGGCCGGUUAAGUCAGCGGUAAAAGCCCGGGGCCCAACCCCGGCGAGCCGUUGAAACUGGCGGGCUGGAGUUGGAGAGAAGUACGCGGAAUGCGCGGUGUAGCGGUGAAAUGCUUAGAUAUCGCGCAGAACCCCGAUUGCGAAGGCAGCGUACCAGCUCCACACUGACGCUGAGGCACGAAAGCGUGGGUAUCGAACAGGAUUAGAUACCCGAGUAGUC
This 459-nucleotide ribosomal RNA is filed under the name uncultured bacterium. Its description in RNAcentral is "partial 16S ribosomal RNA". It matches the Rfam family "Bacterial small subunit ribosomal RNA", at positions 338 to 795 of the family's 1533-position model. The record is from RNAcentral.